UAGGGAAUCUUCCACAAUGGGCGAAAGCCUGAUGGAGCAACGCCGCGUGAGUGAUGAAGGCCUUCGGGUUGUAAAACUCUGUCAUUCGGGACGAACCGGAGUCUGAGGACAUGCAGACUCCCUGACGAUACCGGAGGAGGAAGCCCCGGCUAACUACGUGCCAGCAGCUGCGGUAAUACGUAGGGGGCCAGCGUUGUCCGGAUUUACUGGGCGUAAAGCGCGCGCAGGCGGUGAUGUAAGUCUGGGGUGAAAACCCGAAGCUCAACUUCGGGACUGCCGUGGAAACUGCCUCACUUGAGGAUAGGAGAGGCAAGGGGAAUUCCACGUGUAGCGGUGAAAUGCGUAGAGAUGUGGAGGAACACCUGUGGCGAAGGCGCCUUGCUGGCCUAUUACUGACGCUGAGGUGCGAAAGCGGGGGGAGCAAACAGG
This 429-nucleotide ribosomal RNA is filed under the name Actinomycetes bacterium. RNAcentral describes it as "Actinobacteria bacterium partial 16S ribosomal RNA". It matches the Rfam family "Bacterial small subunit ribosomal RNA", at positions 355 to 776 of the family's 1533-position model. The record is from RNAcentral. Lineage: Bacteria; Bacillati; Actinomycetota; Actinomycetes.